RNAcentral lists this ribosomal RNA (254 nucleotides) under uncultured bacterium. RNAcentral describes it as "partial 16S ribosomal RNA". It matches the Rfam family "Bacterial small subunit ribosomal RNA", at positions 524 to 776 of the family's 1533-position model. The record is from RNAcentral.
UACAGAGGUCUCAAGCGUUGUUCGGAUUCAUUGGGCGUAAAGGGUGCGUAGGUGGUGGGGUAAGUCGGAUGUGAAAUCCCGGGGCUCAACCCCGGAACUGCAUUCGAUACUGCCUUGCUCGAGUACUGGAGAGGAGACUGGAAUUUACGGGUGUAGCGGUGAAAUGCGUAGAUAUCGUAAGGAAGACCAGUGGCGAAGGCGGGUCUCUGGACAGUUCCUGACGCUGAGGCACGAAGGUCAGGGGAGCAAACGGG